RNAcentral lists this ribosomal RNA (319 nucleotides) under uncultured eukaryote. RNAcentral's name for it is "partial 18S ribosomal RNA". It matches the Rfam family "Eukaryotic small subunit ribosomal RNA", at positions 1470 to 1796 of the family's 1831-position model. The record is from RNAcentral.
CCCUUAGAUGUUCUGGGCAGCACGCGCGCUACAAUGGUCUUCGCAAACGGAUGCAUUCUCGAAGGAGAAUGCCAAUCUUGGAAUCUAUGCCUUGGUCGGGACAGUUGCUUGCAAUUUUUCGACUCGAACCAGGAAUUCCUUGUAAUCGUGAUUCAUCACAUCACGAUGAAUACGUCCCUGCCCUUUGUAGACACCGCCCGUCGCUCCUACCGAUCGAAGAGUUAGGUGAAUUGUUUUGAUCGAUAAGAUUUGACUAUGGUCAACUCUCGUUGUGAAAUUCUGUGAAUCUGACUGUUUAGAGGAAGGAAAAGUCGUAACA